CCACAGCUUCCUCCUUGCGCGCGCGCCAUAGAGCCGACGUCGCCGUUGGCCGGCGCCGCCUCCUCGCACGGCACUGCGCCUCCCUCUCAACCCUCCCUCCACACUUCAAAGAGCCACGCCGCCCAACGCCGCCGGGCCGCCAUCCCGCCGUGUCUACUUCUCACGCUCAUCCUUUCCGCCAUCAGGGAACUCUCCAAGAUGGCGAAGAAGCGGGGGAAGAGGAAGACGAUGCUGCGCCGGAAGGCGCCGCGACCUCCCUCUGUCGCGACAAAAGGAUAUACCACAGGAUCCAUUUAUUCUUCUACGGGAAUACUAAUAUUUGGUCUGGAAAUCAUUCAGUGAUAUUGUGUGGGUAUGUUGCGAUUGAUCAAUUUCAUAGCGGUAUGUUGGUUCUAGAUCUAUUUAGCUAUACAUUUCGUAGCAUUGAAGCUUGCUGCCUUUUUAGAACUAAUCUGGAACAAGACUUUGCUCGAAGAAACCUUUUGCUGAUCAUGAACUGCUCAGCAAAAUGGGUAUCAUAAGAUUCAACCA
RNAcentral lists this long non-coding RNA (531 nucleotides) under Oryza sativa Indica Group (long-grained rice). RNAcentral describes it as "lncRNA OsMH63_12G010970". Lineage: Eukaryota; Viridiplantae; Streptophyta; Magnoliopsida; Poales; Poaceae. The record is from RNAcentral.